RNAcentral lists this non-coding RNA (26 nucleotides) under Homo sapiens (human). The record is from RNAcentral. Lineage: Eukaryota; Metazoa; Chordata; Mammalia; Primates; Hominidae.
GGCAAGCAGCUGGCAGAGACCUUGGA